This 250-nucleotide ribosomal RNA is filed under the name uncultured bacterium. Its description in RNAcentral is "partial 16S ribosomal RNA". It matches the Rfam family "Bacterial small subunit ribosomal RNA", at positions 524 to 774 of the family's 1533-position model. The record is from RNAcentral.
GACAGAGGGUGCAAGCGUUAUCCGGAUUUAUUGGGCGUAAAACGUUCGUAGGCGGUCUGCUAAGUCUGAGGUAAAAUCGUCUAGCUCAACUAGACAUCGCUUCGGAUACUGGCGGACUAGAGUGUGUCAGGGGUUAUUGGAAUUCCCGGUGUAGUGGUGAAAUACGUAGAUAUCGGGAGGAACUCCAGUGGCGAAAGCGAAUAACUGGGGCAUAACUGACGCUGAGGAACGAAAGCGUGGGGAGCAAAAA